RNAcentral lists this ribosomal RNA (274 nucleotides) under uncultured bacterium. RNAcentral describes it as "partial 16S ribosomal RNA". It matches the Rfam family "Bacterial small subunit ribosomal RNA", at positions 523 to 796 of the family's 1533-position model. The record is from RNAcentral.
AUACGUAGGUGGCAAGCGUUGUCUGGAUUUAUUGGGCGUAAAGCGCGCGCAGGCGGAUUGGAAAGUCAGAUGUGAAAUCUCGGGGCUCAACCCCGAAACUGCGUCUGAAACUAUCAAUCUAGAAUCUUGGAGAGGGAAGGGGAAUUUCACGUGUAGGGGUAAAAUCCGUAGAGAUGUGAAGGAACACCAGAGGCGAAGGCGCCUUCCUGGACAAGUAUUGACGCUGAGGCGCGAAAGCGUGGGGAGCAAACAGGAUUAGAAACCCCGGUAGUCC